RNAcentral lists this long non-coding RNA (630 nucleotides) under Linum usitatissimum (flax). RNAcentral's name for it is "long non-coding RNA (LUSI_LNC001939)". Lineage: Eukaryota; Viridiplantae; Streptophyta; Magnoliopsida; Malpighiales; Linaceae. The record is from RNAcentral.
UUCACGAUUCUUCCGCUGCUUCUAACGAAAACCACCUUAAAGGAAAGUCAUUCAUCAGGUACAUACACCUAUCGCGAUGACUUUGAUUGUUCUUUACGCACUAGGUUAUGUGCAUUCAUCAAGUCAUCUUUACUUCAUUUUUGGUAUCCCUAUUAUUCUGAUCGGAAUCUCCUAAUCAAAUAUAGUUAGUUUCUAGAUUUGUUAGCGAUCAGACUUAAAUAGAAAAUUACUCGAUCUGUUGCUAUCCCGCUACUUCCCGUGCCGUUCUCUCCAACUGAUUAAUGAAAUGGAAUCUCAGGUUUGAGGAUGUCACCUUUGUGAGAACGAAAGAGGCUGCCAGUAAACAGCACGCGAUGCAGCAGAAUACUGGAUUGGUGGAAGCAAUUGUACUGGAGGUUAAGGAUAGGGAAAGGAUUGGAGGUGGAUUUCUGAAGACCGAUGUGAUCUGCUGUAAUCCUACUCUUGCUGGCACGGGAGCCUGCAAGCUAGGUGAGGUGAUUAUCCAGAAAAACUCGGAGAACCCCGAGUGGCCCAAGCGCAUUCAGACUUCGUUUGCUGGACAGAGUGAGGAAGUUAAAAUGCAACCUGAAAUGGUUGAAAUCAAUAGUACUGGAAUGUAUUACCUCUAUU